GAAAUAUGAAAAUUCAAGAAUAAGCUUCUAACUUAUAUCUUAAGCAGUGUAAAUCUGUUUAUAUUUCU
Molecule: transfer RNA, 68 nt
Filed under: Cleroidea sp. 2 KM-2017
Lineage: Eukaryota; Metazoa; Arthropoda; Insecta; Coleoptera
Description: tRNA-Ser
Source: RNAcentral